This 509-nucleotide ribosomal RNA is filed under the name uncultured bacterium. RNAcentral's name for it is "partial 16S ribosomal RNA". It matches the Rfam family "Bacterial small subunit ribosomal RNA", at positions 28 to 507 of the family's 1533-position model. The record is from RNAcentral.
GACGAACGCUGGCGGCGUGCUUAACACAUGCAAGUCGAACGAAGAGCGAUGGAAGCUUGCUUCUAUCAAUCUUAGUGGCGAACGGGUGAGUAACGCGUAAUCAACCUGCCCUUCAGAGGGGGACAACAGUUGGAAACGACUGCUAAUACCGCAUACGAUCUAUCUCGGCAUCGAGGAUAGAUGAAAGGUGGCCUCUACAUGUAAGCUAUCACUGAAGGAGGGGAUUGCGUCUGAUUAGCUAGUUGGAGGGGUAACGGCCCACCAAGGCGAUGAUCAGUAGCCGGUCUGAGAGGAUGAACGGCCACAUUGGGACUGAGACACGGCCCAGACUCCUACGGGAGGCAGCAGUGGGGAAUCUUCCGCAAUGGACGAAAGUCUGACGGAGCAACGCCGCGUGAGGGAUGACGGCCUUCGGGUUGUAAAGCUCUGUUAAUCGGGACGAAAGGCCUUCUUGCGAAUAGGGAGAAGGAUUGACGGUACCGGAAGAGAAAGCCACGGCUAACUACGUG